GGGGUAUACUACACUUGUUCUUUCUGAUAGAGCAUUCUCAACCAAGCGUGUUGCUGUGAGCUCGCUUCUGGCUGUUGGUGCUGUCCAUCAGCAUCUAGUUAAAAAUCUAGAACGCACUCAAGUUGGUUUGAUAGUGGAAUCUGCAGAACCCCGCGAAGUCCACCAUUUUUGUACACUUGUGGGGUUUGGUGCUGAUGCUAUAUGCCCUUACCUGGCUAUUGAAGCGAUCUGGAGAUUACAAGUUGAUGGAAAAAUUCCGGCAAAAUCAAGUGGGGAAUUCCACACCAAGGAGGAAUUGGUCAAAAAGUACUUCAAGGCAAGCAACUACGGGAUGAUGAAAGUUCUUGCGAAGAUGGGAAUAUCAACUUUG
Molecule: unclassified non-coding RNA, 370 nt
Filed under: Hevea brasiliensis (rubber tree)
Lineage: Eukaryota; Viridiplantae; Streptophyta; Magnoliopsida; Malpighiales; Euphorbiaceae
Source: RNAcentral